CUGGCUUUCCGCGGCUGCCCGCCUCGCGCGUCUUCCCCGCCCGCGUCUCCUCGCUGUCGCCGCCGCUGCCACACCAUGGCCUUCGUCACCAGGCAGUUAAUGCGUUCCGUGUCCUCCUCGUCCACCGCCUCGGCCUCGGCCAAGAAGAUAAUCGUCAAGCACGUGACGGUCAUCGGCGGCGGGCUGAUGGGCGCCGGCAUUGCCCAGGCUUCCUUGCUGUCCAAGUUGUGGUAUACUCCAGUGCAGCUGCCUGGCUUCCAAGAGAAACUUAGCACUUCUUGUUCUGUUUGUAGCCUCAAAUCAACAUGUAACCAAAAGCUGUGAAUGAAUAAUCCAAACUUGAAGGACCCCAGAUUUUAUUCAGGAGGAGUAACUGGAAGCCAUAACCAUGAACUUCCAUAUCUGUCAUAGGAAAGAGGUUGGCCUCAGCAACAAUGAGGGAUAAUUCUUUCAAGAAAGGAAUGAAGAGAGAAGUUAGAUGGAAAAGAGAUUUUUAAG
Molecule: small RNA, 498 nt
Filed under: Pan troglodytes (chimpanzee)
Lineage: Eukaryota; Metazoa; Chordata; Mammalia; Primates; Hominidae
Description: processed transcript
Source: RNAcentral